UACCGGCAGCACAAGUGAUGACCGCUAUUACUGGGCGUAAAGCGCACGCAGGCGGUCUGUCAAGUCGGAUGUGAACUCCCCGGGCUCAACCUGGGAACUGCAUCCGAAACUGGCAGGCUAGAGUCUUGUAGAGGGGGGUAGAAUUCCAGGUGUAGCGGUGAAAUGCGUAGAGAUCUGGAGGAAUACCGGUGGCGAAGGCGGCCCCCUGGACAAAGACUGACGCUCAGGUGCGAAAGCGUGGGGAGCAAACAGG
RNAcentral lists this unclassified non-coding RNA (253 nucleotides) under uncultured Enterobacteriaceae bacterium. RNAcentral's name for it is "contains 16S-23S intergenic spacer region". It matches the Rfam family "Bacterial small subunit ribosomal RNA", at positions 524 to 776 of the family's 1533-position model. The record is from RNAcentral. Lineage: Bacteria; Pseudomonadati; Pseudomonadota; Gammaproteobacteria; Enterobacterales; Enterobacteriaceae.